UACGAAGGGGGCUAGCGUUGUUCGGAAUUACUGGGCGUAAAGCGCACGUAGGCGGACUGUUAAGUCAGGGGUGAAAUCCCGGGGCUCAACCCCGGAACUGCCUUUGAUACUGGCAUUCUCGAGUCCGGAAGAGGUGAGUGGAAUUCCGAGUGUAGAGGUGAAAUUCGUAGAUAUUCGGAGGAACACCAGUGGCGAAGGCGGCUCACUGGUCCGGUACUGACGCUGAGGUGCGAAAGCGUGGGGAGCAAACAGG
Molecule: ribosomal RNA, 253 nt
Filed under: uncultured bacterium
Lineage: Bacteria
Description: partial 16S ribosomal RNA
Rfam family: Bacterial small subunit ribosomal RNA
Source: RNAcentral